AUGUGGCUGCCUCCCCCGACUGGCAUCGUCAAGGUGAACGUGGAUGGGGCACUAGCUAGGUCCCGCCGUGGAGGAGCGGUCGCAGCAGUGUGCAGAGAUGAGACAGGCCUAUAUCUUGGAUCAUCGGCUAUCGUUAUCCAAGGUAUAAAUGACCCCGUGGCCUUGGAGACCUAUGCGUGUCGUGAAGCCUUAUCUUUGGCGGAUGAUCUUGCAGUACAGUCUAUAUGCGUUGCCUCGGAUUGCCAGGGAGUCGUGACUAAUAUUGAAAAAGGAACCGCAGGCCCAUUGAUCCCGAUUCAUGUCUGGAACCGGAACCAAAGGGGUCAGACGAACCGGGACCAAUGGCCCACGAGGCCUGGCUGGCCCCCUGGCCUCACGAACCGGGACCGAUGCCCCCAUGGGUCCCGGUUCGUGAGUAAACCGGGAUUAAUGGGUUUACCCAGCCUGGACCAAAGCCCUGUUUUCUACUAG
This 471-nucleotide ribosomal RNA is filed under the name Triticum aestivum (bread wheat). RNAcentral's name for it is "partial small subunit ribosomal RNA". Lineage: Eukaryota; Viridiplantae; Streptophyta; Magnoliopsida; Poales; Poaceae. The record is from RNAcentral.